RNAcentral lists this transfer RNA (63 nucleotides) under Ictidomys tridecemlineatus (thirteen-lined ground squirrel). RNAcentral describes it as "Spermophilus tridecemlineatus (thirteen-lined ground squirrel) tRNA". It matches the Rfam family "tRNA". From Rfam's summary of the family: Transfer RNA (tRNA) molecules are approximately 80 nucleotides in length. The record is from Rfam by way of RNAcentral. Lineage: Eukaryota; Metazoa; Chordata; Mammalia; Rodentia; Sciuridae. RNAcentral also lists the same sequence under 1 other name.
UGGGAUGUAGCUUAGUGGUAGAGUAUAUGCUUAGCAUGCAUGAGGACCCGGGUUCCAUCCCAA